Molecule: long non-coding RNA, 1071 nt
Filed under: Macaca fascicularis (crab-eating macaque)
Lineage: Eukaryota; Metazoa; Chordata; Mammalia; Primates; Cercopithecidae
Description: lncRNA (ENSMFAG00000050772.1)
Source: RNAcentral
UACUUCUUUUCUUUUUUUUUUUUUUUUUUUUUUCUGAGACGGAGUCCCACUCUGUCACCAAGGCAAGUGCAGUGACACGAUCUCGGCUCACUGAAACCUCAGCCUCCCAGGUUCAAGCAAUUCAUGUUCCUCAGCCUCACGAGUAGCUGAAAUUACAGGCACAUGCCACCAUGCCUGGCUAAUUUUAUUUUAGUAGAAAGAGGGUUUUGCUAUGUUGGCCAGGCUGGUCUCGAUCUACUGACCUCAAGUGAUCCACCCACCUUGGCCUCCCAGAGUGUUGGGAUUACAGGCAUGAGCCACUGCACCCAGCCAAUAACACUCUCAAAAUUUUAAUUAUGAAGAAAAUAAAAAUAGAUCCAAGAGAAAUAUAUCAAGAGUAACACACAAAAUCUUUCCAGGAAAAAUAAUAUCUUUUCUUACAAAAAAUCCUACUGAAGAACAAAUUAUCCAUAAUUUUGUAUGUAUUACCUAAUAUUUGAGGCAAUUGAGCAGCAGCCUUCAAAAAGGAACCACCCCAGUUUCUGAGAUCAUGAGUUGUGCCCCAUCAACAGAACUUCUAUUGUGGGCAUAACGGAAUAAGAAGAGAGAAGCACAGUGAUCAGAUGAAGGGCUAUAGAAUUAAAAAGUGAUCAAAAUACCUGCUGCAUUUGCUAUUGCUUAAGCACUUUAAUUAUAUAUCUAUUAUGAAAAAUUGCAUUGAUUUACAUAUUAAUAUUCUACAUUUCAGCAUGUGCCCUUUAUAGUCACAUAAAACAGAAUACACUCUGUCGCACACAUUUAACCUACCUGACUCAGCCAUUAAACUAAAAUUUGAGAGUGGGAGAAAAAAGAAACAGAAUGAAUACAGUGCUCCCAUUGUUCUAUUCAAUGCCUUGGAUUUUAAAUCCUUAACUGUCACUCAACUGAACUCUAUUUUUGUCAGUUUGCCUAUCAGUCAUGAUGGGGAGUUUAACCUAGGGUGAGCAAUCAGUUUGUCUCCAAACCAUUUUUUAAAAUGGUCUCAUGUUCCUGGGUUAGGGACCUAUGUGCAAAUUUUUUACAUCAGUCUGUAAUUUCACUUUAAUCUCCAUG